This 254-nucleotide ribosomal RNA is filed under the name uncultured bacterium. Its description in RNAcentral is "partial 16S ribosomal RNA". It matches the Rfam family "Bacterial small subunit ribosomal RNA", at positions 524 to 776 of the family's 1533-position model. The record is from RNAcentral.
UACGAAGGGGCUAGCGUUGCUCGGAAUCACUGGGCGUAAAGGGUGCGUAGGCGGGUCUUUAAGUCAGGGGUGAAAUCCUGGAGCUCAACUCCAGAACUGCCUUUGAUACUGAGGAUCUUGAGUUCGGGAGAGGUGAGUGGAACUGCGGAGUGUAGAGGUGAAAUUCGUAGAUAUUCGCAAGAACACCAGUGGCGAAGGCGGCUCACUGGCCCGAUACUGACGCUGAGGCACGAAAAGCGUGGGGAGCAAACAGG